Molecule: ribosomal RNA, 460 nt
Filed under: uncultured bacterium
Lineage: Bacteria
Description: partial 16S ribosomal RNA
Rfam family: Bacterial small subunit ribosomal RNA
Source: RNAcentral
CCUACGGGUGGCAGCAGUGAGGAAUAUUGGUCAAUGGGCGCUAGCCUGAACCAGCCAAGUAGCGUGAAGGAUGACUGCCCUAUGGGUUGUAAACUUCUUUUAUCCGGGAAUAAAGUGGACCACGUAUGAUUGUUUGCAUGUACCUCAUGAAUAAGGACCGGCUAAUUCCUUGCCAGCAGCCGCGGUAAUACGGAGGGUCCGAGCGUUAUCCGGAUUUAUUGGGUUUAAAGGGAGCGUAGGCGGGUUGUUAAGCGUGCUGUGAAAGUUUGGGGCUCAACCAUGAGAGUGCGGUUGAUACUGGAGACCUUGAGUGCGCGGAAGGUAGGCGGAAUUCGUGGUGUAGCGGUGAAAUGCUUAGAUAUCACGAAGAACUCCGAUUGCGAAGGCAGCCUGCUGGAGCGUUACUGACGCUGAAGCUCGAAAGUGUGGGUAUCGAACAGGAUUAGAUACCCCUGUAGUC